Molecule: non-coding RNA, 104 nt
Organism: Chelonoidis abingdonii (Abingdon island giant tortoise)
Lineage: Eukaryota; Metazoa; Chordata; Testudines; Testudinidae
Source: RefSeq, a predicted model, not a curated record
UGGCAAGUUUCUGCACAGUAAAGCAGCUUUCUGCAUUGUAACUCCUGAGGUGUACGCACUGCCAAGCCACUUGGUGCGCAGAAUCUGUGGAGUUGCAGCGCUGG